Scophthalmus maximus (turbot) is the source of this 1823-nucleotide long non-coding RNA. RefSeq lists it as uncharacterized. Lineage: Eukaryota; Metazoa; Chordata; Actinopteri; Pleuronectiformes; Scophthalmidae. The transcript is spliced from 2 exons. The record is from RefSeq and is a predicted model, not a curated record.
CUUAAAUCUUCAGGGCCCCAGAGGAGCCUCUAUCGACUCUUAUUGCCUCAGACACAGAUUAAUACAUUCAGCUCUUCACACACUAACACACAAAAAAGUUUUUGAUGAAAAUGUUCUUGCAUUUAAUAUCUUCCAUGUUCAUGCAGGAUCUUCACCACUUGAGGAAUGCGAGAUUAUGUAAGUAAACGUUUUCAUUUAUUUCGAGCAGUGGUUGAAAACAUAUCAACACAAAAUAGAAAAAAAGAUAAAGACAUUACAUAAUACAUUUUUAAAAAACUAUGAAUAUUUAAAAUGAUUCGGCCUCGCGGUCGGACAAUGGAGGACGUCGCCCUUUAAGGCCGAGGGCGUUUUCACCCCGAGUUCAGCCUGUCAGGUCCGGCUUGUUUUCCGCCUUUGUGUAUUUCCCUCAAAACGGACACUGGUUCUUAAAUUUAAAACGUUACAUUUCGAGGGGUAGUUGAGAUUACGUUGCUGUGGGAGUCUCAGGCUCGAGAGUUUAAACCAUGUGCUAAAACACGACGGAGAUAAUAAAUACACCUUCGCUUCCUGCUUCGGAGAGAGAGGAGGAGGAGGAAGGGGGAGGAGUCGGGCGGCCCCACUCCCGACCGCCGCCGAUCUUCGCCGAACCCUCUUCACUGGCUGUCGUAGCUGCUCUUCCUCCUCCUCCUCCUCGCACACCGACAUCGUCCAUCUCUCCGACACCAUUUCCAUCAUGGUGGACAUUUUGGUGUUGAUGUUUUUCGCCAUCAUGGGCCUCGUCUUCCUCUCCUACAUCAUCUACGUCCUGUGAUGAAGAGGAUGAUGAAGAGGAUGAUGGUGAGGGGCCGCCGCUCAACGAGCGCGCACGGGAUGUGCGUGUGUUGUUUCCCCUCCUCUCUCUCCCGCAUCCCUGGUCUCCAUCACGGACCACGGGCCCAUGAUGGUUGAUGGUUUCCCAUCAUGCUCUCAGGUGGGAUGAGGGGAGUCAGUGAUCCAGCGGAGGAGGGAGGAGGAGGAAGAAGAAGAAGAAGAAGAAGAAGAAGUGGAGAAGAAGAAUUUUUCCUUUUCUAUCUGCCACUUGCACCGUGUCGUCCUCUCCAGCUCUCCUCCGGCGGAUCGGUCCAGUCUGAGGAGGGGUCCCGCAACAAACUGUGUUUUUAUAUUAUAUCUAGCCUCUACCUGCUCGUGUUUCUCUGCAGAGCAGGAGAAAAUGAUAUUUCUGCACAAAGUCCUCCCCAAAAAACAUAAGUAGGUUUGAGUACAGGUGUCGAAUCUGCCUUUUUUUAUAUAUAUAUAUAUAUAUAUAUAUAUAAAAUAACACUGUGAGAUAAUUCUUCAUUCCACUUUAUGCUCAGUUUAACAGUAUUACGACGCCAUCUGUGCUCAUGUGUUUCUUUUCUUUUUUGUUAUGUUUGUGUUUCAUGAAAAGGCCUCGUUUGGCUCAGCCUUGACAUUAAUAUUUUUUUUUAAUUCAUAUGUUGCCAACACGUUCUCCUCCUCCUCCUCCUCCUCCUCCUCCUCGCUGCGAUCGAGAUUUCCCAUCAGGCCGACACGGUGGAGAUGUACAAAUACAAUAACUCAGUGUUUCUUGACGUCAUAUCAGUCGCCCUGCUCUCUUGGUUUUAGCGAUGGUGUCGCUGUUAUUGCAUUUUGUCCUAUUUAUUUUCAUUUCGAUGUGAAUGACAAGCACAAAGAGUCAUUGUCAAAAAGCAUUCUUGCCACCAAACCCCAUAUAAAUUAUGUUAUACAGUAAAUAUAAAUAUAUACAUAUAAUGUUGUGUUCACUGAUGCGCUGGUUAUUGACAGUGUUUCAUGUUAAAUAAAAGACGAUUUCAGUAAACCAA